RNAcentral lists this ribosomal RNA (540 nucleotides) under uncultured bacterium. RNAcentral's name for it is "bacterial SSU rRNA". It matches the Rfam family "Bacterial small subunit ribosomal RNA", at positions 777 to 1308 of the family's 1533-position model. The record is from RNAcentral.
AAUAGAUACCCCGGUAGUCCACGCCGUAAACGGUGGGCACUAGGUGUGGGCGACAUUCCACGUCGUCCGUGCCGCAGCUAACGCAUUAAGUGCCCCGCCUGGGGAGUACGGCCGCAAGGCUAAAACUCAAAGGAAUUGACGGGGGGCCCGCACAAGCGGCGGAGCAUGUGGCUUAAUUCGACGCAACGCGAAGAACCUUACCAAGGCUUGACAUACAUCGGAAACGUCCAGAGAUGGGCGCCCCCUUGUGGUCGGUGUACAGGUGGUGCAUGGCUGUCGUCAGCUCGUGUCGUGAGAUGUUGGGUUAAGUCCCGCAACGAGCGCAACCCUUGUCCCGUGUUGCCAGCAGGCCCUUGUGGUGCUGGGGACUCACGGGAGACCGCCGGGGUCAACUCGGAGGAAGGUGGGGACGACGUCAAGUCAUCAUGCCCCUUAUGUCUUGGGCUGCACACGUGCUACAAUGGCCGGUACAAUGAGCUGCGAUACCGCGAGGUGGAGCGAAUCUCAAAAAAGCCGGUCUCAGUUCGGAUUGGGGUCUGC